This 300-nucleotide ribosomal RNA is filed under the name uncultured bacterium. RNAcentral's name for it is "bacterial SSU rRNA". It matches the Rfam family "Bacterial small subunit ribosomal RNA", at positions 1083 to 1382 of the family's 1533-position model. The record is from RNAcentral.
AGUCCCGUAACGAGCGCAACCCCUGUCGUUAGUUGCCAGCGCGUAAUGGCGGGAACUUUAACGAGACCGCGAGCGAUAAGCUUGAGGAAGGAAGGGACGACGUCAAGUCAUCAUGGCCCUUAUGGGUAGGGCUACACACGUGCUACAAUGGAGUGUACAGAGGGUUGCAACGUCGCGAGGCCGAGCCAAUCCCAUAAAACCGUUCGUAGUCCGGAUCGGAGUCUGCAACUCGACUCCGUGAAGUCGGAAUCGCUAGUAAUCGCAGAUCAGCAUGCUGCGGUGAAUACGUUCCCGGGCCUU